AUUCAUAGUUAGCAAACUUUUUUUCUUAUGGCUAUAUCUUAUAUGAAUUAAUUUACUAGAAAUUUUUUUUUUUUCCUGUUCGAUGAAUGAAUUUUACUGUCCUUUUUUUUUGAAAUGGAUACCUCUGCAAACAACAUUUGUUCUUUAGCCAGAGAGUUAAACUGUCAGUAUCAAGACAGAGAGAUAGUAAUUAAUGCGAUUUAUUUAUUUUGUGCUAAAAGGUUCACGGUACGAACGAAAAAAAAAAAUACAUUGUGAUAUUGCAAGUUCCAUGAUUAACAAUCAAUUUAAAAAUAUUGUACAUUGUAUGCAAAAAAGAAAAAAAAAGGUGUAGGGUUAAGGCAUAUACAGUGUUGCAGGCCUUGAAGACGAGAGGACGGUGGCAGAAAUGGACCCCCUCCCUUCUUCUUUGCUUCUUCUUCUUUUAAUUUUUAGCCAAUGUUUUUAUUGGUUUCUUUUAUCAAAUUAUUCACUUUAGUUUGUAGUUAGUACGACGAAAAUUAAAAAUAAAGUAGAACGAACACUCAGGCCUGCACUAUUAUCUUAUCUACCA
This 553-nucleotide long non-coding RNA is filed under the name Capsella rubella. RNAcentral describes it as "long non-coding RNA (CRUB_LNC003266)". The record is from RNAcentral. Lineage: Eukaryota; Viridiplantae; Streptophyta; Magnoliopsida; Brassicales; Brassicaceae.